ACAAAUAAAAAGGUUUUACAAAGGUUUGACUCUCCUUGAGUUGAUGCCAAAGGCUAGCUCUACUAAGCGACACCAAGAUUAUGGCAGAGUUGCAUGAAGAUGGGAGACAAAUAAAGAGGUUGAGUCAUUAUCCUUCUUGCCCUUAUCCAAAGCUUGUCUCACUCGUCAGUACCACACUUCGAUGCUACCGGUUUAUCAAUCCUCCUUCAACUCAACCAAGUCGAAGGUUUACAGAUUAGAAAAGAGAACAUAUGGGAUACCGUUAAACCUCUACAUAACGCCUUGGUAGUAUUGGAGACCUUUCGGAGAUAAUGAGUAAUGGGAUUUAUUGUAGCGUGGAGCACCGAGUAACAGUUUACUCAGCAAAUGAGAGGCUCUCAGUUGCUACUUUAUGAACCCUGAAAUGAAGUCAGAAAUUGGUCCCUUACUUAGCGUGAUCACACCAGAGACACCUGCAUUCAUUAUCCAGCAGAACGGUUGAGUGUGUUAUUAUGUAAACUCGAUAUCAAUCAUACCUUGACUCUAUGUUGUAAAUGGUGCUGGGCGAGGCGCCAAGCCCAGCGCCUCGCCAAGGGCUUAAGCGAGCCAAUAAAAAUUGUUUAUGGUUUGGCGCUUGGGCGCCUUUUUUUGCCAGGCGCUGGUCCUGCGCUUAGUGGGCCUUUGGUGCUUAAGCCCCAACCGCGCUCGCCUUCUGCAACAUAGCCUUGACUACAUGAGCCAUAAUGAUAUUCGUAAAUAUGAGUUAUACAGGCGGGUUAUUGUUGGCAUCACCUUCUCAUGCAGUCCGCUCUAAAGUUCGGUAUUGAAUAACUUGUAUGUAAAUGGAUUGAUGGUACAGAAACUUAUCACCUUCAAUUUGCCAUGAACGAGUUGAUGCUUUAGUUCUUUGUUUUGGGCUCACUCACAGUACUUGGCAGUCAAUUUUUAGUGGCAUUUGAUGUUGAGAUAUAUACAUAAUCUUGAUAACA
This is a long non-coding RNA of Papaver somniferum (opium poppy), 968 nucleotides long. RefSeq lists it as uncharacterized. NCBI's taxonomy places the organism in Eukaryota, Viridiplantae, Streptophyta, Magnoliopsida, Ranunculales, Papaveraceae. The transcript has 2 exons. The record is from RefSeq and is a predicted model, not a curated record.